Molecule: ribosomal RNA, 261 nt
Filed under: uncultured archaeon
Lineage: Archaea
Description: partial 16S ribosomal RNA
Rfam family: Archaeal small subunit ribosomal RNA
Source: RNAcentral
UAGCCGUAAACGAUACUCGCUAGGUGUCGGCCACGGUGCGACCGUUGUCGGUGCCGUAGGGAAGCCGUGAAGCGAGCCACCUGGGAAGUACGGCCGCAAGGCUGAAACUUAAAGGAAUUGGCGGGGGAGCACAACAACGGGUGGAGCUUGCGGUUUAAUUGGAUUCAACGCCGGAAAUCUUACCGGGACCGACAGCAACAUGAAGGCCAAGCUGAAGACUUUGCCGGAUUAGCUGAGAGGAGGUGCAUGGCGUAGACGUCU